RNAcentral lists this ribosomal RNA (524 nucleotides) under uncultured Acaulospora. RNAcentral's name for it is "SSU rRNA". It matches the Rfam family "Eukaryotic small subunit ribosomal RNA", at positions 569 to 1092 of the family's 1831-position model. Lineage: Eukaryota; Fungi; Glomeromycota; Glomeromycetes; Diversisporales; Acaulosporaceae. The record is from RNAcentral.
AGCAGCCGCGGUAAUUCCAGCUCCAAUAGCGUAUAUUAAAGUUGUUGCAGUUAAAAAGCUCGUAGUUGAAUUUCGGGGUUUAUCCGUCGGUCGGGCUUUCGGGUUUGUACUGGCGUGAUGGAUUCCUACCUUCUGAAUAACCGGCAUGUCAUUAAUUUGGUGCGCCGGGGAAGCAGGACUGUUACCUUGAAAAAAUUAGAGUGCUUAAAGCAGGCUUAUGCCUGAAUACAUUAGCAUGGAAUAAUGAAAUAGGACGGCAUGGUUCUAUUUUGUUGGUUUCUAGGAUCACUGUAAUGAUUAAUAGGGAUAGUUGGGGGCAUUAGUAUUCAAUUGUCAGAGGUGAAAUUCUUGGAUUUAUUGAAGACUAACCUCUGCGAAAGCAUUUGCCAAGGAUGUUUUCAUUAAUCAAGAACGAAAGUUAGGGGAUCGAAGACGAUCAGAUACCGUCGUAGUCUUAACCAUAAACUAUGCCGACUAGGGAUCGGACGAUGUUAAUUUUUUAAUGACUCGUUCGGCGCCUUACG